Molecule: long non-coding RNA, 1579 nt
Organism: Bos taurus (domestic cattle)
Lineage: Eukaryota; Metazoa; Chordata; Mammalia; Artiodactyla; Bovidae
Source: Ensembl
UCGUAGGGUAUGUUUACAAAACUCUUGCUGUUCAGUUGCUAAUAGUACCCAAUUUAGGGACUCCAUGGACUACAGCAUGCCAGGUUCCCCUGUCGUUCACCGUCUCCUGAGUUUGCUCAAAUUCAUGUCCAUAGAGUCAGUGACGCCAACCAAACAUCUCAUCCUCGGCAGUCCCUUCUCCUCCUGCCCUGUCUUUCCCAACAUCAUAAUAUUUUCCAGUGAGUCAGCUCUUUGCAUCAGGUUCUAAAAGGGCUUCCCUGGUGGCUCAGCAGUAAAGAAUCUGCCUGCAAUGCCCGAGACCCGGCUUCGAUCCCUGGGUUGAGAAGAUCCCCUAGAGGAGGGCAUGGCAACCGACUCCAAUACUCUGGCCUAGAGAAUCCCAUGGGCAGAGGCACCUGGCCGACUGUAGCCCAUAGGAUCACACAGAGUUGGACACGACUGAAGCAACUAAGCAGCAGCAGAAGGCCAAGGCUUCAGAGAGAAAUACUUAAUAAUUAGUAUGUUAAAUUUCAUGGGAUUUCUAAAAAUCUGGUAUGCCCCAGUAAAAUGUUAUCUCAUUGUUUUCUAGUUGUUUUAAAAUGUUGCAUGUCAUAAUAACUCAGUUUAUUUUGUCAAUCCCAUUGUGGCCAAAUGUUUAUGACUUUUUAAAUUCCUUUUUAAAGUCUUUCUGUGAUUUAUAGAUGGCUAUUGUUGUAUUCAUGUAUAUUCAUGUAUGGACAUGAAUUUGAGCAAACUCCAGGAGAUAGUGGAGGACAGAGGAGCCUGGCAUGUUGAAGGCCAUGGGGUCGAAACAAGCUGGACGUAACUCAGGGACUGAACAACAACAACACUGUUGUAGUCUGUUAAAUCUCAGGUUAUACUGGGGAACUAGGUAAGGAAGAAAGUCCUAAGGGAAAGCCUGAUCGCUUCAUACAAAGUUAAAAACAGGAUUGGUUACUAAAUGGACUGUAAAUUAUGGUGAUAAAUUUAUGGGUUUUAUCUGAAAUGUCACUGAUUUUAACUCAUGUUUUCCAGAUAUAGGGAAGCCCUUCUCCUCAAGUUGGUUAUGAUUUACAACAGUUUGGUAAAUUAUACCUCUGUGAGUAAAACAGAGAUAUUUUUCUUUUCCCUCUGCCUGUUCUGUUCAAACAUUGUAAACUCUUGGGUUCUGAGCAGCCUUAUCAAACAAAUGGGAAAGACUCUUCUGGCAUGUGGGGGGAUCUUGAUAGUCUGAGGACUUCUAUAGAAGACAGAAAGUCACCUAGGCAAAAUCUGACGGCAGGCCUUUGACAUGGCUUUCUUGGUCUUGAGGGGCCUUUUGAAACUUUCAUCUGAGACUCCUACUGAGGAAUUACACCAGAAUCAACGUGGAUGAAUCCAUGUGGUCAAUGGACAAAACAGUUUAAAAAUAAAUUAGUCUCAGCUGUACCUGAUGAAAAUGGAGGUGAUUCUAGAAAAAAGAGGUUUCACUGAAUGUUAAAUUCUAGUGUUGUUAAAUAAGGUCUGUGUUUACCCACUUUCCUUGUUGUUGCAUCAUAUUGUUACAAAAUUUAAUUGUCAGAAGAACACUAAGUUUGUUUCUGAAGCCUAACUAUGUAAU